RNAcentral lists this ribosomal RNA (504 nucleotides) under uncultured bacterium. Its description in RNAcentral is "bacterial SSU rRNA". It matches the Rfam family "Bacterial small subunit ribosomal RNA", at positions 8 to 507 of the family's 1533-position model. The record is from RNAcentral.
AGAGUUUGAUCAUGGCUCAGGAUGAACGCUAGCGGCAGGCUUAAUACAUGCAAGUCGAGGGGCAGCGGGUGUAGCAAUACAUGCCGGCGACCGGCGCACGGGUGCGUAACGCGUAUGUAACCUACCUUUAACUGGAGGAUAGCCCCGAGAAAUCGGGAUUAAUACUCCAUAAAAUUAUGAGAAGGCAUCUUUUUAUAAUUAAAGCUCCGGCGGUUUUAGAUGGGCAUGCGUGACAUUAGCUAGUUGGUGAGGUAACGGCUCACCAAGGCUCCGAUGUCUAGGGGUUCUGAGAGGAUUAACCCCCACACUGGUACCGAGACGCGGACCAGACUCCUACGGGAGGCAGCAGUAAGGAAUAUUGGGCAAUGGACGCAAGUCUGACCCAGCCAUGCCGCGUGAAGGAUGACGGCCCUAUGGGUUGUAAACUUCUUUUGUACGGGAAAAAACCUUCGAACGUGUUCGAAGCUGAUGGUACCGUAAGAAUAAGCAUCGGCUAACUCCGUG